Molecule: unclassified non-coding RNA, 184 nt
Filed under: uncultured Glomus
Lineage: Eukaryota; Fungi; Glomeromycota; Glomeromycetes; Glomerales; Glomeraceae
Description: sequence contains 18S rRNA gene
Rfam family: Eukaryotic small subunit ribosomal RNA
Source: RNAcentral
AGCAGCCGCGGUAAUUCCAGCUCCAAUAGCGUAUAUUAAAGUUGUUGCAGUUAAAAAUGCUCGUAGUUGAAUUUCGGGAUUGGCGCAUCGGUCGUGCCUUACGAGGUAUGAACUGGUGCAGUCAAUUUCUCACCUUCUGGAGAACCGCGAUGUCCUUAAUUGGGUGCCGCGGGGAACCAGGACC